This is a non-coding RNA of Ascosphaera pollenicola, 73 nucleotides long. The record is from the annotation of a GenBank genome assembly. NCBI's taxonomy places the organism in Eukaryota, Fungi, Ascomycota, Eurotiomycetes, Onygenales, Ascosphaeraceae.
GGGUUAAUAACUUAAUUGGUAAAGGAUUUCCUUGUCGAGGAAAUAGAUGUCGGAUCGUAGCCGACUUAACCCG